UACGUAGGCAGCGAGCGUUGUUCGGAGUUACUGGGCGUAAAGAGUGCGUAGGCGGUUUUCUAAGUUUGGUGUGAAAUCUCCCGGCUCAACUGGGAGGGUGCGCCGAAGACUGGAAGGCUUGAGUAUGGGAGAGGUAAGCGGAAUUCCUGGUGUAGCGGUGAAAUGCGUAGAUAUUCGCAAGAACACCAGUGGCGAAGGCGGCUCACUGGCCCGGUACUGACGCUGAGGUGCGAAAGCGUGGGGAGCAAACAGG
RNAcentral lists this ribosomal RNA (253 nucleotides) under uncultured bacterium. RNAcentral's name for it is "partial 16S ribosomal RNA". It matches the Rfam family "Bacterial small subunit ribosomal RNA", at positions 524 to 776 of the family's 1533-position model. The record is from RNAcentral.